This 484-nucleotide ribosomal RNA is filed under the name uncultured bacterium. Its description in RNAcentral is "partial 16S ribosomal RNA". It matches the Rfam family "Bacterial small subunit ribosomal RNA", at positions 30 to 507 of the family's 1533-position model. The record is from RNAcentral.
AUUGAACGCUGGCGGCAGGCCUAACACAUGCAAGUCGAGCGGAUGAAGGGAGCUUGCUCCUGGAUUCAGCGGCGGACGGGUGAGUAAUGCCUAGGAAUCUGCCUGGUAGUGGGGUAUAACGUCCGGAAACGGGCGCUAAUACCGCAUACGUCCUGAGGGAGAAAGUGGGGGAUCUUCGGACCUCACGCUAUCAGAUGAGCCUAGGUCGGAUUAGCUAGUUGGUGGGGUAAAGGCCUACCAAGGCGACGAUCCGUAACUGGUCUGAGAGGAUGAUCAGUCACACUGGAACUGAGACACGGUCCAGACUCCUACGGGAGGCAGCAGUGGGGAAUAUUGGACAAUGGGCGAAAGCCUGAUCCAGCCAUGCCGCGUGUGUGAAGAAGGUCUUCGGAUUGUAAAGCACUUUAAGUUGGGAGAAAGGGCAGUAAGUUAAUACCUUGCUGUUUUGACGUUACCAACAGAAUAAGCACCGGCUAACUUCGUG